GGACAAUAUAACACUUCUGGAUGUCUCCUGUCACUUUUCUCCUGGGAAGACGAGCUAAUGUGAUUGGUGAAGAGCCUGAAAGCCACCGAGCCAUGAUUUUUCCAAGGACUCUGGUCAUUGAAUUGAAAAGGAGAGUCAAGCUUCUUGGGAGUAUGGCAUAGAUGUAUACAAUUUUUCACAAAGGAGCCCACCAUUUUAACGGAUCAUCCACCUGCGGAUCUUGGAGCAGAAAACCAAUCUAUUUUUUUCUCUAAAACUGAAGGAGUUCUUGAGGGAAGGAAACAGCCCUGUACAUUAUGCAGAGGUGGCAGGAUUCCACCAUCGCAUUAUGAAAGGAUUUUCCUAUGGAAGCCUGGGCGCAGAAAAUUUCAAAGAAACUCCUUUCUUCACAGUGAACGUUAAGGAAAAAAAAAAAAAGCCAAAG
Long non-coding RNA from Globicephala melas (long-finned pilot whale), 424 nucleotides. RefSeq lists it as uncharacterized. The record is from RefSeq and is a predicted model, not a curated record. Lineage: Eukaryota; Metazoa; Chordata; Mammalia; Artiodactyla; Delphinidae.